AUAAAGUUUUAUUUUAGCUUAAUUAUUUAUUAUUAGUUUAUUUUAUAUGUAAAUUUUUGUGUGAAUUAAUAUUUAUUUUAAUAGUAGAUAUUAUAAUUUUAUUCGCAGUAAUUAAUAUUAUUAAUUAAAGAAAUUUAGAAAUAGUAAUAUUAAAUAGUAUUGACUAAAUUUGUGCCAGCAGUCGCGGUUAUACAAAUAAUGCAAAUAAAUAUUAUUAGUAAAAGUUAAAUUGAUAUUGAUAAUAAAAUAAUAAUAAUUUUUUUAGGUGAAAUUUAAAAAUUAUGUAAUUUUGUAGAAGAGAUUAAUUGAAGCUUAAAAAUUUUAAAUAUAAACUAGGAUUAGAUACCCUAUUAUUUAAAAUGUAAUUAAAAAUACUUGAGUAGUAAUAGUUAUGGUCUUUAAACUUAAAAAAUUUGGCGGUAUUUUAGUCUAUUCAGAGGAACUUGUUUUGUAAUCGAUAAUCCGCGAUGUACCUCACUUAAAUUUGUUUAUCAAUUUAUAUACCGUCGUUAUAGAAUAUUUUAUAAGAAAAAUAAUUUUCAAUAAUUAAUAUAAUAAUAUAUGUCAGAUCAAGGUGUAGUUUAUAUUUAAGUAAUAAUGAGUUACAAUAAAUUUAUUUUUGGAUAUAGAUAUGAAAAAUCUAUUGAAAUUGGAUUUGAUAGUAAAAUUAAAUAGAUCAUUAAUUUGAUUUUAGCUCUAAAAUAUGUACAUAUCGCCCGUCACUCUUAUUAUUAAGAUAAGAUAAGUCGUAACAUAGUAGAGGUACUGGAAAGUGUUUCUAGAAUAU
RNAcentral lists this non-coding RNA (787 nucleotides) under Platypeza sp. XL-2018. The record is from RNAcentral. Lineage: Eukaryota; Metazoa; Arthropoda; Insecta; Diptera; Platypezidae.